This 670-nucleotide ribosomal RNA is filed under the name uncultured Gammaproteobacteria bacterium. RNAcentral's name for it is "bacterial SSU rRNA". It matches the Rfam family "Bacterial small subunit ribosomal RNA", at positions 9 to 681 of the family's 1533-position model. Lineage: Bacteria; Pseudomonadati; Pseudomonadota; Gammaproteobacteria. The record is from RNAcentral.
GAGUUUGAUCCUGGCUCAAUUGAACGCUGGCGUUAGGCCUAACACAUGCAAGUCGAGCGGAUGAGGAGCUUGCUCUUCGAUUCAGCGGCGGACGGGUGAGUAAUGCCUAGAAUCUGCCUGGUAUGGGGGACAACGUUUCGAAAGGAACGCUAAUACCGCAUACGUCCUACGGGAGAAAGCAGGGGACCUUCGGGCCUUGCGCUAUCAGAUGAGCCUAGGUCGGAUUAGCUAGUUGGUGAGGUAAUGGCUCACCAAGGCGACGAUCCGUAACUGGUCUGAGAGGAUGAUCAGUCACACUGGAACUGAGACACGGUCCAGACUCCUACGGGAGGCAGCAGUGGGGAAUAUUGGACAAUGGGCGAAAGCCUGAUCCACCAUGCCGCGUGUGUGAAGAAGGUCUUCGGAUUGUAAAGCACUUUAAGUUGGGAGGAAGGGCAUUAACCUAAUACGUUAGUGUUUUGACGUACCCGACAGAAUAACACCGGCUAACUCUGUGCCAGCAGCCGCGGUAAUACAGAGGGUGCAAGCGUUAAUCGAAUUACUGGGCCGUAAAGCCGCGCGUAAGUGGUUUGUUAAGUUUAAUGUGAAAGCCCCCGGCUCAACCUGGGAACUGCAUUCAAACUGGCAAGCUAGAGUACCGUAGAGGGGGGGGAAAUUCUGUGUACGGAAA